GCAAAGCACUUUGAAGAGAGAGUUAAAGAGGACGUGAAACCGGUAAGGUGGAAACGGAUAGAGUCGGCGUAUCAUUCAAUUAUUCAGUUACAUUAUUUUUAUGUUGUGACCUCUGAGCUCCAGAUUGGGACAGAGGGAAUCAGCAUAAUUUUUUGUGGUGCAUUUACUUGAUUGGUGCUUGGGGAUGUUUGAGGCAGAUUUGUUUCCGUCGUUUUGAGGCCAGCUUGCUGGUACCCAAACGGUGUUAGCAUUUUUUGUCUUGGGCAUUUGAGUAUGGCUCACGUGUAUUUAUUGGACAGAUCUGAGUGUAAGUUACGGUCGCAUGCGACACGUGCUUUUCAAUUAGUUCGGUCCAGUUAAUGCUCUCGUACUCGUUCCCCAUGUAAAAGCCGGUCAUCUAUCCGACCCGUCUUGAAACACGGACCAAGGAGUUUAUCGUGUGCGCAAGUUUUUGGGUGUUAAAAACUUAAAAGCGAAAUGAAAGUAAAUGACUCUUUAGAGUCUGAUGUGCGAUCUUGUAAAAAAGUGUAGCAUGGCCCCAUUCUAACUGUUUACAGUAGGGUGGCGGAAGAGCGUACGCGGUGAGACCCGAAAGAUGGUGAACUAUUCCUGAGCAGGACGAAGCCAGAGGAAACUCUGGUGGAAGUCCGAAGCGGUUCUGACGUGCAAAUCGAUCGUCUGACUUGGGUAUAGGGGCGAAAGACUAAUCGAACCAU
RNAcentral lists this ribosomal RNA (716 nucleotides) under Meloidogyne sp. DHR-2019. RNAcentral describes it as "partial large subunit ribosomal RNA". It matches the Rfam family "Eukaryotic large subunit ribosomal RNA", at positions 366 to 943 of the family's 3401-position model. Lineage: Eukaryota; Metazoa; Nematoda; Chromadorea; Rhabditida; Meloidogynidae. The record is from RNAcentral.